GGCCGUUUAACGGUCGUCGCGCGAGGCGGCCCCGGCCGGUAGCGGCUGCGGUUGCUCCCUGAGGCGGGGCGGGGCUUGGCGGAACGCGGCUAGCGGGACGGAGUCAGCAGACAUUGGGAAAUGUGAGGCAAAAGGAAUGUGAGUGGAUGCAGCUUCAGUUGGUUCUGAUGAUUCUGAUUCAAAGUGUUCAAAACUCUUUGGAAAGUGUUGCAGGAGUCACAGCAUUACUUUCUUCAAACUGAACCUCUGCAAACUCUUCAGGCAUGUCAGGGUUAAGUACACUGACCUGGAGCUGCUCCUCACUUGCCUUGGCCUGACUAUGCAGGGAGGAUCAUCAAAGGAAAGUUGCAACUCUUCUUAACCAUUCAGAAUUUCUUUUUGUUGGAACUGAAAAGACACAAGUGAUGUCCCAGCAUCAAAACCAGGGGUAGGAA
Long non-coding RNA from Gallus gallus (chicken), 434 nucleotides. NCBI's taxonomy places the organism in Eukaryota, Metazoa, Chordata, Aves, Galliformes, Phasianidae. The record is from Ensembl.